GAGCGCCUACGGGACGCAGCAGUGAGGAAUAUUGGUCAAUGGUCGGGAGACUGAACCAGCCAAGCCGCGUGAGGGAUGAAGGUACAGAGUAUCGUAAACCUCUUUUGUCAGGGAACAAAGGCGGGGACGUGUCCCCGGAUGAGUGUACCUGAAGAAAAAGCAUCGGCUAACUCCGUGCCAGCAGCCGCGGUGAUACGGAGGAUGCGAGCGUUAUCCGGAUUUAUUGGGUUUAAAGGGUGCGCAGGCGGGCUGUUAAGUCAGCGGUCAAAGCCCGGGG
Molecule: ribosomal RNA, 277 nt
Filed under: uncultured bacterium
Lineage: Bacteria
Description: partial 16S ribosomal RNA
Rfam family: Bacterial small subunit ribosomal RNA
Source: RNAcentral